UUUCUCUGAGGACAAGAUCUCUCCCACCCUUGGUCUGGCAUCUGGGAUUAAUUUGGCCAUCAGCAACCUCCAGUGAAAAAACUAAGGACCUGCUUACUAGAUGAAAUCUAAGGAGCUGCCCCAAAGCAAGCAAGUAGACGUAGAAUCAGAAACCAAAGAACCCUGAAAUGCUUUUCUAAGGAAACCUUGUCAUAUAGAGGAGGUGCUUUCAUAAACUGCCCUUCCUGGGCAAGGGAGCACCCGCAGCAUUCCUCGAACAGGCAGCAGCCAGUCUCUGCUGCUAUCGCUGCAGAGCAAAAGGCAGCAGUGCAGCCCUUCCUCUCUUCUUAUCUGCCUGGCUCAGAAAGGCUCCUGCCCAGUCCAGCUGCUCUGACCCAGCUGUGUUAACACCGUGCCCGCCCCCGCGCGUGUCAGAAAGAGUUUGAUGUUCUUCCUGGAGCAGCCUGGUGACCAGCCAGCUGGUGUGGCAGCUGGGCCAUGUGGGUGUCCCACACUUAUUUACGCUGCACCGUGCCCUUGAUGGCAAGUUCUACUGGCAGCAAGAUGGCAGCAAGUAGGAUUUAGCCAGUGGACUCUUCUGCUUAUUCCUUUUAUUUUUUAUUUUUUUCUUCUGAUGGUCUGCAGGGAGUCCGGGUUCCACCGUAGUAAAUGAGAACUGGGAAGAAAGCUAAAGGUUCAAGAACUCAAAGCAUACACCAGCAGCUACAAAGCAAGGACUGGGAAAAAGGAAAUGCAGAAAUCUGACUUAAGCAGACCACUUGUCUGGCUGCAACCAGAGAUGUGAACCUCAUUCCCAAACAAGACACAUCAGCAGCAGCUGGACAAGGAGACACAUAAGGUGCUUGGCAUCCCUGUCACCUCAUGGGCAGCACAGCUGUGUGCCACGGCCACCUGGCCACGCUGGGUGACCGAGGCCCCACGUGCCUGCUUCAGCCUGAAUUUUGAGGGCCCUCACAGACAUCUCUGCGCUGCAAGGCGUGACGGUGUUCCCACCGUGGGUUUGCACUGGGUGUGACCACAGCUCGGGGCAGCUAAGGUGAUGCUACGGGUUCCUCAUCAUUAUUCCUGCCAGAGGAGGAGUCUGACGACAUUCGCGCAUCUGUGGAGAGCAGCGUUUAUCGAACAAGCAACACACAAGUUUCAAAGCCAAGCAAAGAUGAAAGAAGCCGGUGACUUGGCCUCAUCCCCAGACGAUAUAGAUGCUACUUUUUUUGGUUUGGUUUGGUUUUGGGU
This is a long non-coding RNA of Falco peregrinus (peregrine falcon), 1233 nucleotides long. RefSeq lists it as uncharacterized. NCBI's taxonomy places the organism in Eukaryota, Metazoa, Chordata, Aves, Falconiformes, Falconidae. The transcript is spliced from 3 exons. The record is from RefSeq and is a predicted model, not a curated record.